CAGUAAUCGGGUCUGGUUCUUUACAAACAGGUACGAUUUGAGUUUUCAUUCUCAAAGCAAAAAGUUGGAGCUUUUUAGCUGCCAUCUGAGGAUACUUUUCAUUACACAAAUGGCCUUCUCGAGUGGCUUAAAUUGAUGUGUCCAUUCUCUGCUUAUGUACAAAAACCAACAUAGGCUUUUGUCCAUCUGUCGGAUACUUUUUCUUGUAGCACAAAAUGGCUGAGUGGCUAAUAUUGGAAUGGUUUCCAUCUUGGUUCAUUGCACAGAAAAGACGCAAACACUAGCUUUUUAGUCCAUGGCUGGAUCGGAUACUAUCUUUAUACACAAUGGAAUCGAGUGCUUAACAUUGAAUGUGUCCAUUCUCUGUGUAUGCCACAAAGAAGACCGAACAUAGCGCUUUAGUCAUUCUGAUUGGAUUACUUUUAUUAUACACCAAAUGGCCCGAAGUUUUGAUUCUUUAGCUUUUACUAAUUUUUUCUUUUUUGUAAGGUUGCAAUAAUUUUAAGAAUGCAACAUAUUGACGAUAUUUUUGAUAUUUUUUUUAAAUUAUUUUUUAUUAUAAACUAAACUUUUAUUUACUGUUUAUUUUGAUACAGCGAUGGGGGUGAUUUGAGGGAAAGUGGUGGGGGGUGGGGGGGGGGGGGUGGGGGGGGGGGGGGGGGGGGGGGGUUGAAUGGGUUGUUUUUCUAUGGCUUGAAUGGUUCGUUAAGCAUAUAUAUCGCACUUUUGAAUUAAUGGGUUUGACAUUUUUAUAUUUUAUGUAGUUGGGGGUGUAUUUAACUAUGGGUGUAUGUUGUUACUUUUUAUGAUACCUAAUAUUUAGCACUAAAUAUGCUGUAAGCUAACAUUCAUUUAUUUAAAUAUGCCUUCGCAAUAUUACUUAGCUAACUUUUCAAUAUUGAAAAUUUCUAAUUUGAUAUGAUUUUGUUACAUUAUAGUAAAAUUGAAUGUCGAUCAUUGGUUGUUUGCUUGAGAAAAUAUGCAGAAUUAAGGUAAAAAAAUUAUUUUUUAUACAUAAUUUUGAUUUUAAUUUUAUAUGAUUGAUUGGAUAGUUCAAUUCGCUAUUUGCUUAUAUAAUUUAUUCUUUUAACUGCGUAGAUGAAAAAGAGCAAUAUGGAGAUCGAAGGCGAAAGGAAAGAUAUUCAAGGUUGCAACAAAAAUACAAAAGGAGACAUUCAUUACAAGGUUAGAUAUCCAACUCAAAUUAUUAUAUUUUAUAUUAUAAUAUCACAUUUCUUGCAAUUAUUUUGUAUUUUGAACUAUUGGACAUGUUGCAUCAAAUUGUAGGUAAUGUUCUAUAAAAAUUAAACUAUUGAUUAUAUAAUAUCGAGAAUUUCAAUCCGCUCGUUUAGAGCUCGAGCUCGGCUCGACUCGAAAUUAGGCUCGCUCGAGCUCGGCUCGAAUUAAUUUCAAGCCGAGCUUGAGCCUAGAUUUAAGCUCGAAAUUAAUUUCAAGCCGAAUUUGAGCCGACAUAAGCUCGCUCGAGCUCGGCUCGUUUCCACCCCUAGUUUGGCGUCCAAGAGAAUUCGAGGUGGCGAUAACUUGUCGGUGACUGCACCGCACGAGUCGAAGUGGCGAAUCGGGGAUACAACAACCAUUCUGGUCCGUGCAUAAAAAAAUCUAUACAAUAUACGUGUGUGUGUAUAUAUAUAUAAAACUAAAUUUAGAAUAUAUAUACUUAGAAAUAAAUCAAAUUUAUAAAUAAUUGACUACAAUUUUGAUGUUCAAAAAAGUAUGUAGUGCUUAGUUUUUCUUAUUAUUGGAAGUUGGUAAAAUACUAUAGCAUUCUAUAUGUAAUGUGCACUUCACCGGACGGACGCACCUUUGCGACGUCGGCGAGGGUGGCAGGGAGGGGGCAGAGCGUGCGCAGAUGCGCGGCGUAGGUGGCGUCCAUCGCCGGAUCCUGCUCCGCCGUCGCGGAGAAGUUGUACAGCCUAUUGCUGAACGCGACGCAGUGGGCCCCGCCGACGGAGUGGGCCCCGGCGAGCACCACCAU
RNAcentral lists this long non-coding RNA (1996 nucleotides) under Ananas comosus (pineapple). RNAcentral describes it as "long non-coding RNA (ACOM_LNC036746)". The record is from RNAcentral. Lineage: Eukaryota; Viridiplantae; Streptophyta; Magnoliopsida; Poales; Bromeliaceae.